AGCGCGGUCGCCACCGCUUAAAGGCGCCGCGCCAGCCCUCGCCGCUGCUGCGGGCUGGUUUGCGUCGCGGGCGGAGGGCGCAGCUGUCUUGCCGAGUGGUUUCUGGCUGAAGGGGCGAGGGGAGGGGGUUGUGGCGGGGACAUUUCGUGUCUGUCGUUUGGGGGUAGUCGAGCUCCGGUCCUCGGAAGCAUCCCGGUGCCCCAGCGGUAUUCACUCCACCCCUCGGCAAGUGGUUGCAACUGCAGAGGGAGGGGGCGGCGCGGUGCGCAGAAACCUUCAGUGAGGUCGCCUCUUGUCGCCAGGGGAAGCUGACCCAGGCCCAGGCUUAGGGCGUUGACCGCCGACUCGCAGGACGCGGCCAGGAUGAAGGGAACGUCCCAGGUCUAGACAAGAAAAAUGGGUCCCCUGGGUGCCGGCUGCCGGGGUGGAGGGUUCCGAGUUUCGGCGGAGACUUUCAGGAUGGCCUUGAAAAUCUGAGAAGAGGAAGAGCUUGGAUUGAGGAGGGAGCAUCUAAAGACCUGGGGCGUUACGGGGAUGACAGGCUUUCCUAACCAAACUUGAGUCAGGCUCCGUAAGUCUUCUUUCUGCCUGGGCUCUGACCUUGGGCUCUGUCCUCGGCCCCUUGGGUCCAGCUGUAGCAAAAAUCCUGGUGAGUCAGAAAAAUUUGCUGGCCUUGGUGGGAGAUCGCCCUGGCCUGUCUACAGGAAGAAUCCUGUCAAGUCAACUUACCCGGAAUCCCCAGAGCCCUGAGGUUUGCCCUUAGCUUCCCAUCUACCAGUUGCCCACCCUUGUGCCUUACUAUAAAUUCCCACUUGGCCUUGCCAGUCAGAAUGGAGCGGUCGCUCUCCUGUUGAAAAACCCCCAGUGCAGAUGUCUGCUUCUUAAAGUCUUCCUUGCCAUCUUUAA
This is a long non-coding RNA of Chinchilla lanigera (long-tailed chinchilla), 906 nucleotides long. RefSeq lists it as uncharacterized. The transcript is spliced from 2 exons. The record is from RefSeq and is a predicted model, not a curated record. Lineage: Eukaryota; Metazoa; Chordata; Mammalia; Rodentia; Chinchillidae.